This is a non-coding RNA of Podarcis lilfordi (Lilford's wall lizard), 4865 nucleotides long. The record is from the annotation of a GenBank genome assembly. NCBI's taxonomy places the organism in Eukaryota, Metazoa, Chordata, Lepidosauria, Squamata, Lacertidae.
ACCACAAUCUUUAUUGUUGCACAACAGGCCCCCACACAGAGUAAGAACCCCAAACAUGGGUUGCAAGCUCUUUGAAGACCUUCCCUCCCUACCAGAAAACAUGUCCAGAACCAUCAUUGAUACAUCACUGAUACAUCAUCAUCAUGUCACAAUGAGGUAGGGGAGUCGUGAGGUUACAGAAGCUCAGCUCAACAAUUGCCCCGUGUCAUAAAUGAGCCAGACUCCAGAGAAGGUUUGCAGCCAACUAGCAGUGAAGGAAGCAGCCAGGAAGAGAGAGGAUCUGGCCAGGGUGCAGAAGGCCCGGCCAGGGUGAAGAAUCCUGGGUGUCAGGAGUGCGUGCAGGAGCCAGGCCCUGUGGCCAGUAGGACUUUGCAGGGCUGGGGCCUUCCUAAGUGCAGGGCACAGAAAGAAAUGCUUUGCCAGGGCACAAGAAGAAAUGCCUAGCCGAGAGGGGCGCUUCCAAGAUGGUGAUAGAACAGUGGUGAGUAGACCACAAUCUUUAUUGAUGCGCAACAAGUCCCCACACAGAGUAAGAACCUCGAACAUGGGUUGCAAGUUCUUUGAAGACCUUCCCUCCUGACCAGAAUACAUGUCCAAAACCAUCAUUGAUACAUCACUGAUACAUCAUCAUCAUGAUGUCACAAUGAAGUAGGGGAGUCGUGAGGUCACACAAGCUCAACAAUUGCCCCGUGUCAUAAAUGAGCCAGACCCCAGGGAAGGUUUGCAGUUGUGUGGCGAGUUCCCACCUCCCCCUCGGAAAUAAAGACACAGGACACCAGUAUUUUAGGUUAAUGGGCAAAAAUAGGCCACAACUUUAUUGAUUACAGGAAUUGAGCAGUAUUGGCUUAGGCAUUGGUCCUAUCGUCUAACCAGCUUCAGCCUGACUGCUUGAAGACCGGCAAGGGUUAACCACCAGUAGGGGGAGUCCUGCUGAUGCACAUCAACUAGGAUCUCCCCCGGGGUCACCGCUCAGGGGCGUGCCUUGGGACUUCACCUCCAUAGGCUUCGGAGAGGGCCACGCCCCCCGGAAUCCUUUACCGGACAACCCUUCAAACUGGGGGAGGUGAUGGCGCUUCCUCCCCCCCAUCUACAUAACAAUACCCUUACCAAUGCCUAACCGCCACUCGAGCAAAAGCUCGCCGCCAAUACCCUCAAACCUGCAACCAAUCCCUAAUCCCAGCCAUCAUAUCCGCCAACCACACAUCGUUUCCCACAUCGGAAAGAUGUACGCCAUCCUCUUGGUAGAGGGCCACUUAGCUGAACUGGAUGUUGGGGUGGUCAAUGACCCAACCCCCCAGAGCUGCCACUCUACGCGCCGCCAAAUGUACCAAAAGCUUCCUGGCUUUGUUUAUCACAAUGGGCACUGACAGUCCCUCCAUACAUGCCUCGCCAGCGGUGGUGACCAAAUUAGGGUUGAAUCUGGCAAUGAGGCAAUCAGUUCAUUGAAGUCAUUCUAAUUGUGCCACAUCAAGUCCACGCCUUUCCGAUAGGCCAAGUCAUUUCCCCCCAGCUGAAUUACCAGAGCAUGAGGGGACCUUCCAAAGUGGCUCUGGUUUUCACUGCAGGCAUAAAUUCUGCCCAGUGCACCCCCUUCCGUGAGAUUCAGGAAACUUAUAUAUAUUUUUAGUGGAAGAUCCAGCUUGCACCCCAGGCCACAGUUGACGGCACGGUUACUAGCCCAGUAGACAAUGCUGUGGCCUGUAAUCCAACUGUGCACCACUACGUUUCCUGAAAGCAAAAGAAGGUAACAAAGCCAGGUCAGGUAUAGCGUGAACAAUCACAAGGUCUUACGAAUAUACCGUAUUUUUCGCUCCAUAGGGCGCACCGGACCAUAGGGCGCACCUAGUUUUUAGGGGGGGAAAUAAAGAAACAAAUUUUUAUUCCCCCUCCCCAGCCCCAAAGAGCAAAGAAGCCAAGACAGCGAGCGGGAUCCAUCCCACUGGCUGUCUUGGCUUCCUCUUUAGCCGCAUGCAACCUCUCCAGCCGGGAGAGGCUGCGCGCAGCUUCGUUUUUAGCCAUGGGACUGGGGAGGGGGAAGCCUGAGCUUCCUCCGGCCCCAGCCCCCAAAACAGGUCCAGGAGCGGCGGCAAGAUUGCGUGCAACCUCGCCGCUGCUCCUGGAGCUUGCGGGGCUGGGGACGGGGGAAGCCCGAGCUUCCCCCGACCCCAGCCCCCAGAACAGGCAGCUAUCCACAAGGCUUCUGAGUGCAGCGGGAGUUCCCGCCAGGCUCCGAAUGCUUGCGGAUAGCUGCCUGAAGCCUGCAUUUGCUCCAUAGGACGCACACACAUUUCCCCUUCAUUUUUGGAGGGGGAAAAGUGCAUCCUAUAGAGCAAAAAAUACGGUAUCCCUUAAAAGUAUCAGACGUCCACCGCCCCAAGUCCUUCAUCCAUUCAGCCGAGAGUCCCAAAUGCAUUGCUGUGGUGGCGGCCCUAAUCCAAAAGGAGUUGGCCGCGAAUUCAGCUGGGGGUAAACCACAGGCAGCAGUCGCCCUUUGCAUAGCACGCAUGAACUGAUGCUGUGUAAGACGGGAGCCAUCCAAAUUUAUGAGGAAUGGGCCUGAGACGGUCGAUCCCACGUACUGUACAUGAAAUGUCUAGUGCCCUUUAUUGGGCAUGGCCCAUUGUGACUAAUUGCUUGGAGCCGAGUAAGGGCCGCCUUUUCCUGCUGAUCAGUUUUGGAACAUCGGACAUGCAGGACUAAAUUGGAUCUGGACAAGGACAGGUCUCUCAAUAAACUACCCCGGGCAAUGGAAUCUUGUUGGCCCUCACAAACCACUUCACCAACGCGCAGAGUGCCAAAGGAGGCGAUGGAGUAUGCAGCCGAAAAAUAACCGGGCCUUGCACUCGGACCAACAGAUACUUCUUAAUUUUUAUUUUCAUUGUUGUUAUUAUUAUUUGGAUUUGGCAUAGAAUGCCAUAAGUUAUGGGCCUUCUACCAUCACUGCUGGGAGGCUGCAGCCUGCGCCAGCCCCCCAGUGCCCUUCACACUAAGAAAUCCGCACAAGGGUCUAUGGAGUAAAUAGCCUUACAGAAGGAGGAGAUUGCAGCUGACUGGAUGUUUAAGAGUCUUUGCUGCGCGACCCAGCUCCCUCAAAUGUACCAAGUAUUGUAGAACUUCAGCCUUGGUAGGGGGUGUGUCAAGCCUAGAAUUUUUUAAUUUGCCUUGCAACUCCAUAAAGUCCGACCAAGCCUUUUUAUAAGGUCUAAGCAUGGACGGGACCACUGAAGCCAAUAUUCCCUUCAGGACCUCAUGUUCCCAAGGCUCCCAAGGUGAUCCAGGAAUGGCUGUGGCAAUUGCUGCGCCUCUGGUGCUGAUGGGCGGAAGCAGUCCAUCUGAAAACGGGACAGAGCAUCCGCGAUGUCAUUGUUAACCCUAGGUGUAAAUUUGGCAGAGAAAUAGAUGAUUAAUUCUAAGCCCAAAAGGACAAAGGGCAGCUUUGCCACCCUAGGAGAGUGCGAUGAUUGCUUAGACAGGACACUGACAACCGCUUGAUUGUCAGUCCAGAAGCAUACCUGGUGAUUCCCGAACUCAUCAGCCCACAAGUGCACCGGAACUACGACAGGAAAAUUCUAAGAAGGUGAGCUCACACGUGAUAGGUUUUCCUUGCCAGCUGGUAGGCCAAUGCUGAGCACACCAGCGCCUCCUAAAGUAGACACCAAGCCCCAGGGAACCAGCUGCAUCAGACUGUACCUGAAAGUCUGAAGGCAGCAUCAAAUUGUCCUGCCACAAAGAAAUGCCCUUGUACUUAUCCAGGAACUUUAACCAGACCUCCAGGUCUGACUUGAUCACUUUAGAGAGGCGCACUCUGUGUUGAGGAGCAUGCAGUCCCGCUGACAGCUUAGCCAAUUGCCCACAAAAGGGCAGCCAGGGGGCACUACCCAGCAUGCAAAGUUGAGGUGACCCAAGAGUGAUCGACUCUGCCUAAGGGUAGCCUUCUUGAGGGGAAGAAGUUGCAGAAUUAAUUCCUUAAGUGCUGCUAGCUUCUACCUUGGUAGGCUGAUGUCCGUGCGAUUGUGUCCAAUUCAUUACCCAAAAUAGGUUAUGGUCGAAACUGGACCCUCUGUUUUGUCUGCCACCAAAGGUACCCCAAGCUCCUCAGCCAGGGAGGCAAAAGCCUCUAAAGAGAAGCGCAACCAGGGCUAUUACUAGUGAUGAGAGAAAAGUUAUUGAGGUAAUGGGUCACCCUUUUAGAACCAGUUCUAAAGCAAAGGGCCCAGUCUAAAAUUGUACUAAAUGACUCAAAAGCUACACAAGCUACUGAGCACCCUAUCGGCAUAGAUUUGUCUAUGAACUAAGCGCCCUCAGCCUAAAACCUAGCCACAGAAAAUCCUCUGGGUGAAUUGGCAGGAGGUGGAAGGCCGACUCAAUGACGCACUUAGCUGAACCUACGAAUAAGCUUUAUAGCCUGAUCCAAGGAGGCACAUUUCACAGAACAAGGCUCCUGUGGUAUUGCAUCAUUGACUGAGCCACCUCUAGGGUAGGAUGGGUUGUGGAUCAUACGAUUCUCUCCUGGAGUCUUUUUAGGGACGAUGCCUAAAGGUGAAAUGUGUAAACCCACUAUAGGUGGCUCCCUGAAGGGGCCGGCCACCCUCCCAGCCAGAAUUUCUUUAUUUUCUUUUUGCAAUAGCUGGCAUUUCUCUAACUGGUUUUUGUUUGUUUGUUUGUUUAGGGGGUCCCCUGAGUUAGGAGGGAUCUAAGAGGUGAGAGCUUAACAGAAGAGAACGCCAAAACCAUGGGCCAAAUUAAUACCGGUUUGCGGCUGAAUUACCAGAUUUUUUUCCUCUAUAACACGCUCCUGACCAUAACACGCACAUCGUUUUUAGAGGAGGAAAACAAGAAAAAAAAUAUUCGAAACGAAACAGUGG